AUAUUUCCUCAGUCGACACUGCAAGUCCAAGACCUAAGGGGAUGUGUGUAUGUGUGUAUGUUUGUGUUUGUGUGUGUGUGUGGUGAAUUAUCAGAGAGGGAACCAAAGGCUAAAGGGAGCAGAGGACCUGAUAAGACGGCACCAGCGAGGAAUCCAAAAGAAACUUCUGCCCACAGCUUCCUCAGUCUCUAUAGCAACAGCUGCCGAGGCUCCGUGCAGAAAAGAGACGAUUGGUAUUCUCCCUUACCUCCUCCUCACCGACAGCAAACAUCACUCUCAUCAAAGGCUCCCGUCUUUGAUCAGGUCUUCAAAGAAGCGUGUCAUCAAAGUCUAUCAGGAGCAGGAUGUGUGUGCCAAUGCGGUGAUGGCCGGCAGGUUUAUCUAAGCUGACAGAGAUGAAUCUCCCAGCAGAGGGCUGGGCCUGUUCAGCUGUCCUGCUGAGGGGGAGCCCACACCAGGGCUGACAUUAAAUUAUUUCAGGAGG
Molecule: long non-coding RNA, 484 nt
Filed under: Sparus aurata (gilthead seabream)
Lineage: Eukaryota; Metazoa; Chordata; Actinopteri; Spariformes; Sparidae
Description: lncRNA (ENSSAUG00010027207.1)
Source: RNAcentral